RNAcentral lists this ribosomal RNA (710 nucleotides) under Roseovarius sp. Its description in RNAcentral is "bacterial SSU rRNA". It matches the Rfam family "Bacterial small subunit ribosomal RNA", at positions 42 to 800 of the family's 1533-position model. The record is from RNAcentral. Lineage: Bacteria; Pseudomonadati; Pseudomonadota; Alphaproteobacteria; Rhodobacterales; Roseobacteraceae.
GCAGGCGCGCUACCAUGCAGUCGAGCGAGACUUCGGUUCUAGCGGCGGACGGGUUAGUAACGCGUGGGAACGUGCCCUUCACUACGGAAUAGUCCCGGGAAACUGGGUUUAAUACCGUAUACGCCCUUCGGGGGAAAGAAUUUCGGUGAAGGAUCGGCCCGCGUUAGAUUAGAUAGUUGGUGGGGUAACGGCCUACCAAGUCUACGAUCUAUAGCUGGUUUUAGAGGAUGAUCAGCAACACUGGGACUGAGACACGGCCCAGACUCCUACGGGAGGCAGCAGUGGGGAAUCUUAGACAAUGGGCGCAAGCCUGAUCUAGCCAUGCCGCGUGAGUGAUGAAGGCCUUAGGGUCGUAAAGCUCUUUCGCCAGGGAUGAUAAUGACAGUACCUGGUAAAGAAACCCCGGCUAACUCCGUGCCAGCAGCCGCGGUAAUACGGAGGGGGUUAGCGUUGUUCGGAAUUACUGGGCGUAAAGCGCGCGUAGGCGGAUUGGAAAGUUGGGGGUGAAAUCCCAGGGCUCAACCCUGGAACUGCCUCCAAAACUAUCAGUCUAGAGUUCGAGAGAGGUGAGUGGAACUCCGAGUGUAGAGGUGAAAUUCGUAGAUAUUCGGAAGAACACCAGUGGCGAAGGCGGCUCACUGGCUCGAUACUGACGCUGAGGUGCGAAAGUGUGGGGAGCAAACAGGAUUAGAUACCCUGGUAGUCCACAC